GACGAACGCUGGCGGCGUGCUUAACACAUGCAAGUCGAACGGAAAGGCCCUGCUUUUGUGGGGUGCUCGAGUGGCGAACGGGUGAGUAACACGUGAGUAACCUGCCCUUGACUUUGGGAUAACUUCAGGAAACUGCGGCUCAUACCGGGUAGGAGCUCCUGCUGCAUGGUGGGGGUUGGAAAGUUUCGGCGGUUGGGGAUGGAUUCGCGGCUUAUCAGCUUGUUGGUGGGGUAGUGGCUUACCAAGGCUUUGACGGGUAGCCGGCCUGAGAGGGUGACCGGCGACAUUGGGACUGAGAUACGGCCCAGACGCCUACGGGAGGCAGUAGGGGGGAAUAUGGCACAAUGGGCGGAAGCCUGAUGCAGCAACGCCGCGUGCGGGAUGCCGGCCUACGGGGGGUAAACCGCUUUCGCCGGUGACGAAGCGUGAGUGACGGUAAUGGGUAAAGAAGCAACGGCUAACUACGUG
This 468-nucleotide ribosomal RNA is filed under the name uncultured bacterium. RNAcentral's name for it is "partial 16S ribosomal RNA". It matches the Rfam family "Bacterial small subunit ribosomal RNA", at positions 28 to 507 of the family's 1533-position model. The record is from RNAcentral.